ACCUGGGUGGCUCAGUCAGUGGAGCAUCUGACUUCAGCUCAGUUCAUGAUUUCGCUGUUUGUGGGUUCCAGCCCCACGUCAGGCU
This 85-nucleotide transfer RNA is filed under the name Felis catus (domestic cat). It matches the Rfam family "tRNA". Rfam says of the family: Transfer RNA (tRNA) molecules are approximately 80 nucleotides in length. Their secondary structure includes four short double-helical elements and three loops (D, anti-codon, and T loops). Lineage: Eukaryota; Metazoa; Chordata; Mammalia; Carnivora; Felidae. RNAcentral also lists the same sequence under 1 other name. The record is from Rfam by way of RNAcentral.